AGAACCCCGUAGGGGCUUGAGUUCCAGUGGCCUAUGGUGUAAUUGGCAGCACGACUGAUUCUGGUUCAGUUAG
This 73-nucleotide transfer RNA is filed under the name Streptomyces hygroscopicus subsp. jinggangensis TL01. RNAcentral describes it as "tRNA-Glu". The record is from RNAcentral. Lineage: Bacteria; Bacillati; Actinomycetota; Actinomycetes; Kitasatosporales; Streptomycetaceae.